CGCUAGCUACAGGCUUAACACAUGCAAGUCGAGGGGAAACGACAUCGAGAGCUUGCUUUUGAUGGGCGUCGACCGGCGCACGGGUGAGUAACGCGUAUCCAACCUGCCCAUCACUUGGAAUAACCUUGCGAAAGUAAGACUAAUACCCAAUGACAUCCCACGAAGGCAUCCGAAUGGGAUUAAAGAUUUAUCGGUGAUGGAUGGGGAUGCGUCUGAUUAGCUUGUUGGCGGGGUAACGGCCCACCAAGGCAACGAUCAGUAGGGGUUCUGAGAGGAAGGUCCCCCACAUUGGAACUGAGACACGGUCCAAACUCCUACGGGAGGCAGCAGUGAGGAAUAUUGGUCAAUGGGCGAGAGCCUGAACCAGCCAAGUAGCGUGCAGGAUGACGGCCCUAUGGGUUGUAAACUGCUUUUAUAAGGGAAUAAAGUGAGUCUCGUGAGACUUUUUGCAUGUACCUUAUGAAUAAGGACCGGCUAAUUCCGUGCCAGCAGCCGCGGUAAUACGGAAGGUCCGGGCGUUAUCCGGAUUUAUUGGGUUUAAAGGGAGCGUAGGCCGGAGAUUAAGCGUGUUGUGAAAUGUAGAGGCUCAACCUCUGCACUGCAGCGCGAACUGGUCUUCUUGAGUACGCACAACGUGGGCGGAAUUCGUGGUGUAGCGGUGAGACGCUUAGAUAUCACGAAGAACUCCGAUUGCGAAGGCAGCUCACGGGAGCGCAACUGACGCUGAAGCUUGAAAGUGCGGGUAUCGAACAGGAUUAGAUACCCUGGUAGUCCGCACGGUAAACGAUGGAUGCCCGCUGUUGGCCUGAAUAGGUCAGCGGCCAAGCGAAAGCAUUAAGCAUCCCACCUGGGGAGUACGCCGGCAACGGUGCAUCAAAGGGGAAUUGACGG
Molecule: ribosomal RNA, 891 nt
Filed under: uncultured bacterium
Lineage: Bacteria
Also listed under: 1 other name
Description: bacterial SSU rRNA
Rfam family: Bacterial small subunit ribosomal RNA
Source: RNAcentral